RNAcentral lists this ribosomal RNA (374 nucleotides) under uncultured organism. RNAcentral describes it as "partial 16S ribosomal RNA". It matches the Rfam family "Bacterial small subunit ribosomal RNA", at positions 527 to 896 of the family's 1533-position model. The record is from RNAcentral.
GUAGGUGGCAAGCGUUGUCCGGAAUUAUUGGGGCGUAAAGCGCGCGCAGGCGGUUCCUUAAGUCUGAUGUGAAAGCCCACGGGCUCAACCGUGGAGGGUCAUUGGAAACUGGAGAACUUGAGUACAGAAGAGGAAAGCGGAAUUCCACGUGUAGCGGUGAAAUGCGUAGAGAUGUGGAGGAACACCAGUGGCGAAGGCGGCUUUCUGGUCUGUAACUGACGCUGAGGCGCGAAAGCGCGGGGAGCAAACAGGAUUAGAUACCCUGGUAGUCCACGCCGUAAACGAUGAGUGCUAAGUGUUAGGGGGUUUCCGCCCCUUAGUGCUGCAGCUAACGCAUUAAGCACUCCGCCUGGGGAGUACGGCCGCAAAGGCUG